Non-coding RNA from Vicia faba (fava bean), 282 nucleotides. The record is from the annotation of a GenBank genome assembly. Lineage: Eukaryota; Viridiplantae; Streptophyta; Magnoliopsida; Fabales; Fabaceae.
AUGUCAAUUGUCAAAUCUUCAAUUCAUAGUAUUAGCUCAAAUUGUCUCAUUUCUCAAGAACAUUAUGAUGCUAAUUCAAAACAAACACCAUCUCAACACCUUCUGCCUUUUGAAAACUCAUGUGUGAAACCUUCUCCUAAUAGUGCCAUUGCUACAUGUUCUUCCAUCAUGGACCUAAAAACAACAACAUUGAAUCACAAUGAGACCAGUGAGUUACCAACAUUAAUUAAGAAAACAACCAAGAAGCGUAUUAAAGCCUACAAUAUCAUUGGUAAAUCAUAG